GACGAACUGUCCUAACGUUGUUCGGAAUCACUGGGCUUAAAGGGCGCGUAGGCGGUCCAACAAGUCAGGGGUGAAAUCCUGCAGCUCAACUGCAGAAGUGCCUCUGAUACUGUCGGUCUUGAGGGAGAUAGGGGUGUGCGGAACUUCCAGUGGAGCGGUGAAAUGCGUUGAUAUUGGAAGGAACGCCGGUGGCGAAAGCGGCGCACUGGAUCUCUUCUGACGCUGAGGCGCGAAAGCUAGGGGAGCAAACGGG
RNAcentral lists this ribosomal RNA (253 nucleotides) under uncultured bacterium. RNAcentral's name for it is "partial 16S ribosomal RNA". It matches the Rfam family "Bacterial small subunit ribosomal RNA", at positions 524 to 776 of the family's 1533-position model. The record is from RNAcentral.